Molecule: ribosomal RNA, 411 nt
Filed under: uncultured Corynebacterium sp.
Lineage: Bacteria; Bacillati; Actinomycetota; Actinomycetes; Mycobacteriales; Corynebacteriaceae
Description: bacterial SSU rRNA
Rfam family: Bacterial small subunit ribosomal RNA
Source: RNAcentral
CCUACGGGAGGCAGCAGUGGGGAAUCUUCCGCAAUGGACGAAAGUCUGACGGAGCAACGCCGCGUGAGUGAUGAAGGUCUUCGGAUUGUAAAGCUCUGUUAAUCGGGACGAAAGAGUUCUGUGUGAAUAAUGCAGAAAAGUGACGGUACCGGAAUAGAAAGCCACGGCUAACUACGUGCCAGCAGCCGCGGUAAUACGUAGGUGGCAAGCGUUGUCCGGAAUUAUUGGGCGUAAAGCGCGCGCAGGCGGCCUAUCCAGUCUGUCUUAAAAGUUCGGGGCUCAACCCCGUGAUGGGAUGGAAACUAGUAGGCUAGAGUAUCGGAGAGGAAAGCGGAAUUCCUAGUGUAGCGGUGAAAUGCGUAGAUAUUAGGAAGAACACCAGUGGCGAAGGCGGCUUUCUGGACGAAAACU